Molecule: ribosomal RNA, 468 nt
Filed under: uncultured bacterium
Lineage: Bacteria
Description: partial 16S ribosomal RNA
Rfam family: Bacterial small subunit ribosomal RNA
Source: RNAcentral
GACGAACGCUGGCGGCGUGCUUAACACAUGCAAGUCGAACGGAAAGGCCCUGCUUUUGUGGGGUGCUCGAGUGGCGAACGGGUGAGUAACACGUGAGUAACCUGCCCUUGACUUUGGGAUAACUUCAGGAAACUGGGGCUAAUACCGGAUAGUAGCUCCUGCUGCAUGGUGGGGGUUGGAAAGUUUCGGCGGUUGGGGAUGGACUCUCGGCUUAUCAGCUUGUUGGUGGGGUAGUGGCUUACCAAGGCUUUGACGGGUAGCCGGCCUGAGAGGGUUACCGGCCACAUUGGGACUGAGAUACGGCCCAGACUCAUACGGGAGGCAGCAGUGGGGAAUAAUGCACAAUGGGCGGAAGCCUGAUGCAGCAAAGCCGCGUGCGGGAUGAAGGACUUCGGGUUGUAAACCGCUUUCGAAUGUGACGAAGCGUGAGUGAGGGUAAUGGGUAAAGAAGCACCGGCUAACUACGUG